RNAcentral lists this long non-coding RNA (1004 nucleotides) under Neogale vison (American mink). RNAcentral's name for it is "Neovison vison (American mink) lncRNA (ENSNVIG00000018689.1)". Lineage: Eukaryota; Metazoa; Chordata; Mammalia; Carnivora; Mustelidae. The record is from RNAcentral.
AUAUCUUUGCUCAAUAUAGGACUGUUGGAUUCCAGUCAUUUUACCUUGGAGACAAAAAGGGAAGAUUCAAUUUGAGAAUUUAGAUGUAUCUGCUGAUAGCAUACAUUUGCUACAUUUGAAGAAAAUAUUUGAAAAAGUUGCUAAAACACCCAGCAAGAAGGAAGACCAACAUAAAGGAAAAUACAGAAAGGAAAAAAUGAGCUGGAAAAUCAGGGGAAUCUCAAAAUCCUGGACAUAGUAGGUAUCUCAACAAUUCAUUAUAUGUAUUAUUUUAGUUUGAAUAAUUAGUAAAAGAUGGCAUAUCAAUAGCUAAUUCUGGGAAGUAUCCCUUUUUCUAUAUAUCCAUUGUAACUAUGGUAAACAGUUCUCAGGUUUGACUAUGGCUUUCUCACUCAAUUGACUAUCUUAUCUCUAAGCUUUUCUUUGGAAUAUCACUCAACCUGCAUAUAGUAGCAGUUCAAAUGAAAAGAGGGUGCUAAAUCCACAAAGGAUAACAUAUCAGUGCAAGAUAAGAGUCAGUGCAUAAAUGCCCUUCUCCCAUUCUCCAGAGAGGGUAUUUGUGAAGCUAUUUCUGGAGGUGAAAGCUAUGAAGAGCCUUCUCAGACAUUAUGUGUAAUAGAGAAGCGGCGGCCCCAAACUAUUGAGUACUGACCCCUGUGAGGACAGUAGACCAAAUAGCCAGUGGGAGCCAUGCUUCCGACUGGACAAAGAGGCAGAUAGACAAUAAUGUAGGGAUCAGGGGUAGGGCAGUAGUAGUUUUGUGGUACCCCAUGCAGUACUUUACAUAGUACUUAGCUUUCUAAAAGUUUCUACCCAUUAAUAAGUAGACAUUAAGGAUUUCAGCUUUUGAAGGAAAGAUAUUGGGACUUGACAAAAAAUAUAGUAGACUUGGGGGAAAAUUGUGAGAAUUCACUGGUACACUUAUGUUCAUUUUAGGGAGGUUUUUCAGAUGCCUUUAGAUUCUGAGUAACAAAGAGACUAUGGACUCUGAAAAACAGUCUGAG